Lolium perenne is the source of this 1927-nucleotide non-coding RNA. NCBI's taxonomy places the organism in Eukaryota, Viridiplantae, Streptophyta, Magnoliopsida, Poales, Poaceae. The record is from RefSeq and is a predicted model, not a curated record.
UCGCCAUCGGUCAGAUCUCUGGCCGUUCAAUCGUUAAUCCAGCGUGAAUCGUGACACGCCCGCACGAGGUUGUCUGCUUGGGCCGUCGGGUUGGUUCUUGGAUGGUUUUUACGAGACAGCAGAACCCGGCUUCGGUUUUUAUUUGUGCUGUUUGGGCCGUCAUUCCCCUGCUCGUCUUGUUUGUGUCGUUGUCCACCGAAAGAGGCAGAGCUAGGGGAGGGCGGAGAGACCGCCGGGGAGACCGACGAAUUGAGGAAGCGGGGCGAGCUUUCGGCACCGGAGGGCUGGUCGCAUGGCCCGCUGCUCAUCUUCACCGACGGUUCAUUGACGACCACUUUCAAUCUCAAGAACACCAGCUGCUGCUCUUCCCAAAUACAGAACGACUUGAGGCUCCCGUCCCAUUUCUUGCCAAAAUGGUGUGACGUUUUUGUGUAGAAAGAAAGAUCAGGUGGAAACAAAAGAGCGGUAAUUCAAGGCAGAGAGAGAGAGAGAUUGUUCGGGGGAGGAGAUGACAUGCCUAGGCAGAGAAGCCCCAAGAUCCAAAGUUUUGCCUAUCAGCUGCUUCUUUUUUCAGUCUGAUGUGUUCUUCCUUGUUCCCCUCCAUGUUUAGUCUAGGAUCAAUUUCUUGCUCCUCUUUCUCGCUUUUUUCGUCUUCGAUUGUUUGAUCUGGAAGUUGUGCUCUCUGUGUGUGUCAAGGCUUGCUGGCUGUCGCCGCUGUCUGAUGGCGUGUUUGCAUGGGGAGGAAGAAGGGAGAAUGUUUUGCUUGCUGUGCUAUUGUUAAGAAAGGGCCAAUGAAACGAAGUCCCAAUUUCCCUGUCUAGUUUUUGCAAGCCCCAAAAUAUAAGUGGGGAUGCAGAUAUAGGAGGUUCCAAAUGCAGCGCAUGUUUUGUUGUUUUCACGGGCGGGAACUACCCUGAACUCUUGCCAGGGGAAAUCAGUGUCGUUGAAUUAAAAAAAAACGGCAGAAAAAAACCAGACUUCGUGUUUUUUAUGACAUUUUCUUUUCAUUGUUUUGCUCAGUGUGAUCCCUUUUUGAUCAGUUCAUCAUUGUUUAUCUCAGUCUUAUCUAUGAACUUUAGCUCAGUCUUAUCAGUUACCUUCUAUCAGUUUUUGUCUUUUGUUUAUCUCAGUCUUAUCUAUGAACUUUGUUGUUUUCACGGGCGGGAACUACCCUGAACUCUUGCCAGGGGAAAUCAGUGUCGUUGAAUUAAAAAAAAACGGCAGAAAAAAACCAGACUUCGUGUUUUUUAUGACAUUUUCUUUUUCAUUGUUUUGCUCAGUGUGAUCCCUUUUUGAUCAGUUCAUCAUUGUUUAUCUCAGUCUUAUCUAUGAACUUUAGCUCAGUCUUAUCAGUUACCUUCUAUCAGUUUUUGUCUUUUGUUUAUCUCAGUCUUAUCUAUGAACUUUAGCUCAGUCUUAUCAGUUACCUUCUCUCAGUUUUUGUCUUUCUUUUAGUUCAGUCUUAACUUUCAAGUAGUCAUGUGGCUAUCAUUUGCAGAUCAAGACAACUUGUGUGUGCUACAUGCUUGAUCAAGACAGAUGCAGAGAGGCAGUGAAAAGGAGAAGGGGGUGCGGGGUGACAUGUUGUGUAGAGUGUAUAUGAGAUCCAAAGAUCCCCACCUCGUUUUUCCUGUGUGCUAGCAGACGUUGAUGGAUGUUGGUGUCUAUGCGUGAGGAGGAAGAAGAGAGGAUGUUGUGGAUGCAGAUGAUAGUACGAGUCAAGAAAUGGAAGGCCGAGUUCUCCUAUUCGUGUUUAAGGCCCACAAAUAUUUAGCUGUGGCCCAGGUCGGCUACUUUCAGUCCCAUGUUUUCAUUUUUACAUGAUGUGAAAAUAGAGGCUGAAUUGAUUGGGAGUGUGAGUCGUGAAUGAAAAAACCAGGAAAAACCGGACUGAAACAAUAAACAAAUUGUUUUUUUACUAGGAAAA